CCUACGGGGGGCUGCAGUGAGGAAUAUUGGUCAAUGGACGAGAGCCUGAACCAGCCAAGUAGCGUGAGGGAAGACGGUCCUAUGGAUUGUAAACCUCUUUUGUCGGGGAGUAAAAAGCGGUACGUGUACCGCAUCGAGAGUACCCGGAGAAAAAGCAUCGGCUAACUCCGUGCCAGCAGCCGCGGUAAUACGGAAGGUCCGGGCGUUAUCCGGAUUUAUUGGGUUUAAAGGGAGCGUAGGCCGCAUGUCAAGCGUGCUGUGAAAUGUUGCGGCUCAACCCGGGCCUUGCAGCGCGAACUGGCGGUCUUGAGUCCGCGGAAGGCAUGCGGAAUUCGUCGUGUAGCGGUGAAAUGCUUAGAUAUGACGAAGAACCCCGAUUGCGAAGGCAGCUUGCUGCAGCAGAACUGACGCUGAGGCUCGAAAGCGCGGGUAUCGAACAGGAUUAGAUACCCCAGUAGUC
This 460-nucleotide ribosomal RNA is filed under the name uncultured bacterium. RNAcentral describes it as "partial 16S ribosomal RNA". It matches the Rfam family "Bacterial small subunit ribosomal RNA", at positions 338 to 795 of the family's 1533-position model. The record is from RNAcentral.